This is a long non-coding RNA of Actinia tenebrosa (Australian red waratah sea anemone), 470 nucleotides long. RefSeq lists it as uncharacterized. NCBI's taxonomy places the organism in Eukaryota, Metazoa, Cnidaria, Anthozoa, Actiniaria, Actiniidae. The record is from RefSeq and is a predicted model, not a curated record.
UGCACGCGUUUGGUAACCAUAAAACAACGUUGAACGUCCCGCUAUAAAUAACGACUGCCGAGGACUGUCCACCAUACACUGCCUUCAUCAGCCAAGAUGGUGAGUCUCAGGCAAGUUUUCUUAUUCCUUCUGAUCGCUACAUACUUCAAGCAGGACGGUCUUGCAAUAGGGACAGGGAUGUGUCAUGGCUGUCAAUCCAUCAGUUGUUGUCUUAGGAAACUUGGAAUGAGAUCUGACGCAGUAAAGUAUCUCAGCAAAAAGAAUAAAAUGAAUCAAUUCAAGGCAUCUUAUGACGAAGAACAAACAAGAAUGCCAAUAUCGUAACCAGAUUUAAAUACUGAAAACACUUGCUCAAGUGUCGUCUAUCAAGAAUGAAAAGGAAUGUAUAAGUAACUAGAUCAACUGGACUUAUAAAUAUCUUAUAAAUCUAUAGAAUAAUAUAAUAAAGUUUCUAUYAAAUAUUAUAUCUC